Molecule: non-coding RNA, 26 nt
Filed under: Drosophila melanogaster (fruit fly)
Lineage: Eukaryota; Metazoa; Arthropoda; Insecta; Diptera; Drosophilidae
Source: RNAcentral
GCUUGAAGACACCGGAACAUAUGGCU